Molecule: ribosomal RNA, 308 nt
Filed under: uncultured bacterium
Lineage: Bacteria
Description: bacterial SSU rRNA
Rfam family: Bacterial small subunit ribosomal RNA
Source: RNAcentral
GACGAACGCUGGCGGCGUGCCUAACACAUGCAAGUCGAACGGAGCAGAUCCCUUCGGGGGUUUGCUUAGUGGCGAACGGGUGAGUAACGCGUGAGGAACCUGCCUUUCAGUGGGGGACAACAGUUGGAAACGACUGCUAAUACCGCAUAUGCCUAAGUACCACAUGGUACAAUAGGGAAAGAAGCAAUUCGCUGAUAGAUGGGCUUGCGUCUGAUUAGAUAGUUGGUGGGGUAACGGCCUACCAAGUCGACGAUCAGUAGCCGGACUGAGAGGUUGAACGGCCACAUUGGGACUGAGAUACGGCCCAG